Molecule: ribosomal RNA, 260 nt
Filed under: uncultured archaeon
Lineage: Archaea
Description: partial 16S ribosomal RNA
Rfam family: Archaeal small subunit ribosomal RNA
Source: RNAcentral
UAGCCGUAAACGAUACUCGCUAGGUGUCGGCCACGGUGCGACCGUUGUCGGUGCCGUAGGGAAGCCGUGAAGCGAGCCACCUGGGAAGUACGGCCGCAAGGCUGAAACUUAAAGGAAUUGGCGGGGGAGCACAACAACGGGUGGAGCUUGCGGUUAAUUGGAUUCAACGCCGGAAAUCUUACCGGGACCGACAGCAACAUGAAGGCCAAGCUGAAGACUUUGCCGGAUUAGCUGAGAGGAGGUGCAUGGCGUAGUCGUGU